GGGGCAGUAGCUCAGUGGUACAGCUCCGGCUUCUCAUGCGGGAAGACCUGGAUUCGAUUCCAGGCUACUUUC
RNAcentral lists this transfer RNA (72 nucleotides) under Toxocara canis (dog roundworm). It matches the Rfam family "tRNA". From Rfam's summary of the family: Transfer RNA (tRNA) molecules are approximately 80 nucleotides in length. The record is from Rfam by way of RNAcentral. Lineage: Eukaryota; Metazoa; Nematoda; Chromadorea; Rhabditida; Toxocaridae.